AGACACUGAAAUUUAUCACUCUUAGAUAGGCUCAUAGAAUGAAUAUGGUAGUGGAACAUGGCUGUAAUAAGUGCAGACGGGAGUCCUAGCCAAGACAAUUUCAAGAUAGAGCCCAGCCUUGCUACCUUAACUGACAAGAGAAAAGGGUCAGAGAUGGAGCCCAGUACUGCCAAAAAUAAAGACACGUGGAGAUGUACAAAAUUUAUCAUUUAUUGCUUUGAGUGUUUGAAGACAAAAGUCACAAGACUGUAUGUAUGCAUUUACCCCAUUCUCAUAGACUAGCUUGCAUUGUGUCAACUAUGAAUUGCAUUUUAAAAUCAACUUCUUGAGAAAAAAAAAUAAUUUGGCCUUUCUAGAUGUUUGGGGUUUAUUGACAUACAUUUCUAUUUGUUUGCUUUUCAAGUAACAUUCAAGAUAUAAAUGAUUAUAUCAAAGCAAUUUUGUACUACCUCUUGGAACUAUACAAAAUUUUGUAUGCGUUCCCUUAGUUGCAUGACAACAUUCAAGACAACUUUGUAAAUAGUAAAAUACAAAAGUAAUUCUAACAUCUAGUCUAUCUAGAUGAAUAGAGUCUCACAAAGUAUAAUUUUGUAAAUAAGUCAUGAUAAACUUUUAAAUCAUCACAUUGGUCAAUUUUUUGGAAAUUGUUAGGUAUCUGUUAUUUCAACAAUGUGUCUUUACUUUUUGUCAGGGGAAAGAAAGUUUUAAAACUGUAUUUUCUAUUUUGAAUUGUUGUCUUGGAGGAGUAUUCUAUUUUCAUUGUUAACAUCUUAAAACCCAAAAUCAUCACAUUGUAUGCGUGUCUUUGGUCAGUUACAUAGAUGUUUAUGAUAAAACAGUGUCUCAAACUAUUCGAGAAAAAUUUGUAAAUAACGUACUAUUUUAAAACAUCCAGAUUUUCUAGAUGCAUGUUGUUGUAACAUUGUAAUAUAUGAUAACACUUAUAAAUCCUUUUUAAUUUUUGUAUUUAAUUAUCUCUUAAGUCCUGUAUUUUAGGUUAGAUUAUUGCCAUACAUUUUGACUGAUAGCAUUGAGAAGAAAAACUUUUGAACAGUUGUCUCUUUUUCCAUUAUUCCUUAUCAACUCUGUGAAAGCUGGUUGUCAAACCCAAUUUUGUGUUCAUGGUGGCCUUUGCAAAUUAAUUUUAAAUGGUUUCCUAAAAGAGCAUGCAACUCAGCAAUUGUGCAGCAGUAGAAUCUUAACAGUGCAACAAAACAUGCUGGAUUGCCUAAGGAAAGAAAGAAGAGAUUACAGGUGAUGAAGAUGAGAUAUAUAUCAUCACUAAAAUUGCCUAUUACACCUUAAUUUAUAGGUUUUAAGGACAAACCAGAGAAAUUAUAAAAACAUUGGACAGCCCCUUCUCUACUAGUUUGCCUGUUUCUUCAGAGUGGUGAUUCCUGAGAUGAUCCUUCACCAUUUCUGCUAUCAGUCACCUCAUCAAGAGUCGUCAUCAUUCUCAGAGACUUCCUAAGUUGACAGAUGUUUCCACUGAUGGUCCCUGCUGUACAGAAAAAUUGGCGUCGAGCAUACUUUUUGGAUGGAAGAUCUGAAAGUUUUCCUGCCAGACUAUAUACUGUUCAUGAGCGAUUUUUAUUGUGCAUGGACUAAAUCUUAAGAUCUGGAAUGUUGCCUGCAUUGCUGCCGAAAGAAGUUUGAUAUGAUGGAAUUUAAGGGCUUCGUCUCAGUGCUUCCAUAAGUAUGCAUUGCAAAUGUUUAUUACCACUUUUCACCGAAGAUAUUUGAAACUGAAUUAAACUUUGUAAACAGUUGAAGGACAUGAUACUUUUUUUGUACCAGAAAUUCAGUUUAGGACCUUGCAGUUCUGCUACCACAGUCCAGUACAUGGUAUU
Octodon degus (degu) is the source of this 1850-nucleotide long non-coding RNA. RefSeq lists it as uncharacterized. The transcript is spliced from 4 exons. The record is from RefSeq and is a predicted model, not a curated record. NCBI's taxonomy places the organism in Eukaryota, Metazoa, Chordata, Mammalia, Rodentia, Octodontidae.